UGUUACUAAGGAAAAAUAUGUAAUGGGAAAACUAGUGCUAGCUGUUUGUUCUUAUGGAAAUUCAUUCAAGAUUUAAGAGAAGAGAAGGGAGAAGCAAUUAGCCAGUGCUAUCUGGAAGUGAAUUCAAUGACUCAGAAGCUGUGAUUCUGUAG
This 152-nucleotide long non-coding RNA is filed under the name Pan paniscus (pygmy chimpanzee). RNAcentral describes it as "lncRNA (ENSPPAG00000045175.1)". Lineage: Eukaryota; Metazoa; Chordata; Mammalia; Primates; Hominidae. The record is from RNAcentral.